UACGGAGGAUCCGAGCGUUAUCCGGAUUUAUUGGGUUUAAAGGGAGCGUAGGUGGAUUGUUAAGUCAGUUGUGAAAGUUUGCGGCUCAACCCCGUCGUGCCGUUGAAACUGGCGUUCUUGAGUGAGCGAGAAGUAUGCGGAAUGCGUGGUGUAGCGGUGAAAUGCAUAGAUAUCACGCAGAACUCCGAUUGCGAAGGCAGCAUACCGGCGCUCAACUGACGCUCAUGCACGAAAGCGUGGGUAUCGAACAGG
This 252-nucleotide ribosomal RNA is filed under the name uncultured Bacteroidales bacterium. Its description in RNAcentral is "partial 16S ribosomal RNA". It matches the Rfam family "Bacterial small subunit ribosomal RNA", at positions 524 to 776 of the family's 1533-position model. The record is from RNAcentral. Lineage: Bacteria; Pseudomonadati; Bacteroidota; Bacteroidia; Bacteroidales.